Molecule: ribosomal RNA, 274 nt
Filed under: uncultured bacterium
Lineage: Bacteria
Description: partial 16S ribosomal RNA
Rfam family: Bacterial small subunit ribosomal RNA
Source: RNAcentral
AUACGGAGGGGGCUAGCGUUGUUCGGAAUUACUGGGCGUAAAGCGCACGUAGGCGGAUUAAAAAGUUAGAGGUGAAAUCCCAGGGCUUAACCCUGGAACUGCCUUUAAAACUAGUAGUCUGGAGUUCGAGAGAGGUGAGUGGAAUUCCAAGUGUAGAGGUGAAAUUCGUAGAUAUUUGGAGGAACACCAGUGGCGAAGGCGGCUCACUGGCUCGAUACUGACGCUGAGGUGCGAAAGCGUGGGGAGCAAACAGGAUUAGAAACCCCGGUAGUCC